RNAcentral lists this ribosomal RNA (643 nucleotides) under uncultured Actinomycetes bacterium. Its description in RNAcentral is "bacterial SSU rRNA". It matches the Rfam family "Bacterial small subunit ribosomal RNA", at positions 232 to 885 of the family's 1533-position model. The record is from RNAcentral. Lineage: Bacteria; Bacillati; Actinomycetota; Actinomycetes.
CGCGGCCUAUCAGCUUGUUGGUGGGGUAAUGGCCUACCAAGGCGGCGACGGGUAGCCGGCCUGAGAGGGUGUGCGGCCACAUUGGGACUGAGAUACGGCCCAGACUCCUACGGGAGGCAGCAGUGGGGAAUUUUGCACAAUGGGCGGAAGCCUGAUGCAGCGACGCCGUGUGGGGGAUGAAGGCCUUCGGGUUGUAAACUCCUUUCGUCAGGGACGAAGUUUUUUUGACGGUACCUGGAUAAGAAGCACCGGCUAACUACGUGCCAGCAGCCGCGGUAAUACGUAGGGUGCGAGCGUUGUCCGGAUUUACUGGGCGUAAAGGGCUCGUAGGUGGUGUGUCGCGUCGUCUGUGUAAUCCAGGGGCUUAACUUUUGGUUGGCAGGCGAUACGGGCAUUGCUUGAGUGCUGUAGGGGAGACUGGAAUUCCUGGUGUAGCGGUGAAAUGCGCAGAUAUCAGGAGGAACACCGAUGGCGAAGGCAGGUCUCUGGGCAGUUACUGACGCUGAGGAGCGAGAGCAUGGGUAGCGAACAGGAUUAGAUACCCUGGUAGUCUAUGCUGUAAACGGUGGGCGCUAGGUGUGAGUCCCUUCCACGGGGUUUGUGCCGUAGCUAACGCUUUAAGCGCCCCGCCUGGGGAGUACGG